UACGUAGGGGGGCAAGCGUUGUCCGGAUUUAUUGGGCGUAAAGAGCUCGUAGGCGGUUCGGUUAGUCGGGUGUGAAAACUUUGGGCUCAACUCAAAGACUGCACCCGAUACUGCUGUGACUCGAGUCCGGUAGGGGAGUGGGGAAUUCCUGGUGUAGCGGGUGGAAUGCGCAGAUAUCAGGAGGAACACCGGUGGCGAAGGCGCCACUCUGGGCCGGUACUGACGCUGAGGAGCGAAAGCGUGGGGAGCGAACAGG
This 256-nucleotide ribosomal RNA is filed under the name uncultured bacterium. Its description in RNAcentral is "partial 16S ribosomal RNA". It matches the Rfam family "Bacterial small subunit ribosomal RNA", at positions 524 to 776 of the family's 1533-position model. The record is from RNAcentral.